GGGAAACCAAGUGACACCGAUCCAUCAGCCAACCCCAUGCAAAUUGAUGAUUCUGAAGGAAAACCUGAUAUAAAUGAUAUCACAAUGGAAGAAGCUCAGGCUUCGGAGAAGAAACAAGAACCCACUGAUGAGGCCAGUGAGGCUAACAUCGACUUGAAUCUGGGGUUGAAAGGUCGCGAUGGAGAAGUUGGAAUUGAUUCGAAAUCA
RNAcentral lists this unclassified non-coding RNA (207 nucleotides) under Hevea brasiliensis (rubber tree). Lineage: Eukaryota; Viridiplantae; Streptophyta; Magnoliopsida; Malpighiales; Euphorbiaceae. The record is from RNAcentral.